AACAAUAUUGUUAACAAGUUGUUCAACCAUCAGUACUGUUGCAAGUUGUUAACAUGAUUGUCAACAAGUUGCAACAAUGUUGAUGGUUGAACAACUUGUUAACAAUAUU
This is a non-coding RNA of Paramuricea clavata, 109 nucleotides long. The record is from the annotation of a GenBank genome assembly. Lineage: Eukaryota; Metazoa; Cnidaria; Anthozoa; Malacalcyonacea; Plexauridae.